UCGUGCCGGGAGCCGAGCGCGGGAACACCCAGGGGCGGUUCGAGGGAAGGCGGCUUCGCCCCGUGCCACCACCAGCCUCCAGUGCCGAUGUCUUCUUGCUGGGAGGGAAUCACGGCCGCAGCAGCAGCGCAAAACCUCCGUGCCGAGACCAGCCACGACAUUGCCACCGUCAUCUGCCGGUACUGAAGAGGUGAAAACCCCUCGGGGCCAAGCGGGUGCCAGCAGAGAUGGACGAGCAGCCGCAGGUUGUGGCCACGAAGCUUUUUGGGGGACCCGCCGAGACCUGCGAGGAGAAAAUCCAGUCUCACCUGCGAUCCCUAAGGAAGGUGUUGGCAGAGUUUCUGGACUGGAGAACGAGCGAAGAGAAGCGACACCGGGACUACCUGGAGACAAGCGAAGCCGAGCGGCGCCGCAUCGGGGCCGAGUUCGAGCGGCUGCACCGGUUCUUGGCGGAGAAGGAGCGCGCGGUGCUGGGGCGGCUGGCGGAGCUCGACGCCGCCUUUGAAGCAGCCCAAGCAGAAAAAUCUUUGCAGGUGGCCGAGGGGAUUACACGGCUCCACGGGCUCAUUGGGCAGCUGGAGGCCAAGCGCACACCCCAGGAUAUCGGGAGCAUCCUAAGCAGCUGGAGCGAAAUGAGGCUUCACCUCCCCUCCGAGCUCCCCGCCGAGCUGGAGAAGAGCCUGAGCUCCUGCCGCCGCCAACGGGACGCUCUCUGGGAGGCCCUGAAGGAAUUCAGAGACACAGGGCAACCCGAAACAAAGCCACGAAGGCGGAAAUGUCCCAGCGCAGAAGAAAAGGCAAAGCCGCCUCGGGAGCCCAGCACAGUUCCUCUCCCGCAGCUUUUGGCGGACAGAAAGAGCGUGCGGUGGGAUGAAGAGCGGGAUGAGGCUGAAGAGCCCCGGCGAGGCCAAGGGCCGGCCGGCAGCAGCGAGCGGGUCACCCCGGGGAGAUGCAGGACACGGACGUGCUAGCCGGAUUCUGCCAGAGGCUGCUUUUCCCUCCGGAUACCUGGGUGCUGCCUGCACCCCCAAAACACGACCUCUGUCCCAGCCGAGCUCCUCUCCCACCUCAGAUCCUGCCGGAGAAGCCGCAAAAGCCUCCGCUCUGCCCCAAACUUGCCUUCACCAAUGCUGCCCCUUCCAUUAGCGACCACUUUUGGGGCACGGCGGACCUGGCAGGGAACACCCCCCCCCCCCCCUCCCCUCCCCUCGCUGGAAGCCCUUUCCCGGCUCCGGUCCCGCGGGGAUGAGCCGCACUUGGGGCGCAUCCACGGGCGCCGCGCCCGCCCCCGGCUUCUUCAAGGACACGAAACCCCUCCCGCCCCGGCGCAGCUCUUCGUCAACCCCCGACAGCAGCAGCCGGCCCUGGGCGCAGCCCUCUCCCGUCGUAUCCUUUACCGCCUCGCCCUCGCCGUAACCCCUUUACUGCCGCUUCUCCGCUCCCUCGGUGCAGCUCUUUCAGCGACCCCCGAGGCAGCGGCCACCCCUUCCGUACAAACCCCUUCAUCGCCGCCUCGCCCGUCCCUCGGCGCAGCUCUUUUAUUGCCGCCUCGCCCUCCCUUUCUCCCCCCCCGCAGCACUUUUAUUCACGCCUCACCCUUCCCCGCUCGGCGCAGUUUUUAAUGCCGCCUCGCCUCGCCCGGCCCUCGGCUGCAGCUCUUUCUGUGACACGAGGCGGCGGCCGCCCCUCGGUUGCAGCUCUUUUAUCGCCGCCUCGCCCCAGGGGUAACGGCUUCUCUCGCUCCCCCGCCCC
RNA transcript from Aquila chrysaetos chrysaetos, 1752 nucleotides. It is a transcript of the gene named E3 ubiquitin-protein ligase TRIM7-like, with no coding region annotated. The transcript is spliced from 8 exons. The record is from RefSeq and is a predicted model, not a curated record. Lineage: Eukaryota; Metazoa; Chordata; Aves; Accipitriformes; Accipitridae.